RNAcentral lists this ribosomal RNA (701 nucleotides) under Lentilactobacillus buchneri. Its description in RNAcentral is "bacterial SSU rRNA". It matches the Rfam family "Bacterial small subunit ribosomal RNA", at positions 51 to 708 of the family's 1533-position model. Lineage: Bacteria; Bacillati; Bacillota; Bacilli; Lactobacillales; Lactobacillaceae. The record is from RNAcentral.
AUACAUGCAAGUCGAACGCGUCUCCGUUAAUGAUUUUAGGUGCUUGCACUUGAAAGAUUUAACAUUGAGACGAGUGGCGAACUGGUGAGUAACACGUGGGUAACCUGCCCUUGAAGUAGGGGAUAACACUUGGAAACAGGUGCUAAUACCGUAUAACAACCAAAACCACCUGGUUUUGGUUUAAAAGACGGCUUCGGCUGUCACUUUAGGAUGGACCCGCGGCGUAUUAGCUUGUUGGUAAGGUAACGGCUUACCAAGGCGAUGAUACGUAGCCGACCUGAGAGGGUAAUCGGCCACAUUGGGACUGAGACACGGCCCAAACUCCUACGGGAGGCAGCAGUAGGGAAUCUUCCACAAUGGACGAAAGUCUGAUGGAGCAACGCCGCGUGAGUGAUGAAGGGUUUCGGCUCGUAAAACUCUGUUGUUGGAGAAGAACAGGUGUCAGAGUAACUGUUGACAUCUUGACGGUAUCCAACCAGAAAGCCACGGCUAACUACGUGCCAGCAGCCGCGGUAAUACGUAGGUGGCAAGCGUUGUCCGGAUUUAUUGGGCGUAAAGCGAGCGCAGGCGGUUUUUUAGGUCUGAUGUGAAAGCCUUCGGCUUAACCGGAGAAGUGCAUCGGAAACCGGGAGACUUGAGUGCAGAAGAGGACAGUGGAACUCCAUGUGUAGCGGUGAAAUGCGUAGAUAUAUGGAAGAACA